GGGGGUGUCGUCUAAGUGGCAAGGAUCGCUGGCUUUCAAUCAGCGGAUGCGGGAUCGUGCCCCGCCGCCCCUACCA
This 76-nucleotide transfer RNA is filed under the name Terriglobia bacterium. RNAcentral's name for it is "tRNA-Glu". It matches the Rfam family "tRNA". From Rfam's summary of the family: Transfer RNA (tRNA) molecules are approximately 80 nucleotides in length. Their secondary structure includes four short double-helical elements and three loops (D, anti-codon, and T loops). Lineage: Bacteria; Pseudomonadati; Acidobacteriota; Terriglobia. The record is from RNAcentral.